Molecule: ribosomal RNA, 250 nt
Filed under: uncultured Chroococcidiopsis sp.
Lineage: Bacteria; Bacillati; Cyanobacteriota; Cyanophyceae; Chroococcidiopsidales; Chroococcidiopsidaceae
Description: partial 16S ribosomal RNA
Rfam family: Bacterial small subunit ribosomal RNA
Source: RNAcentral
CUAGCUGUAAACGAUGGAUACUAGGCGUUGAGAGUAUCGACCCUCUCAGUGUCGUAGCUAACGCGUUAAGUAUCCCGCCUGGGGAGUACGCGCGCAAGCGUGAAACUCAAAGGAAUUGACGGGGGCCCGCACAAGCGGUGGAGUAUGUGGUUUAAUUCGAUGCAACGCGAAGAACCUUACCAGGGCUUGACAUGUCCGGAACCCUGCCCAAAGGCGGGGGUGCCUACGGGAACCGGAACACAGGUAGUGC